This 253-nucleotide ribosomal RNA is filed under the name uncultured bacterium. RNAcentral describes it as "partial 16S ribosomal RNA". It matches the Rfam family "Bacterial small subunit ribosomal RNA", at positions 524 to 776 of the family's 1533-position model. The record is from RNAcentral.
UACGAAGGGGGCUAGCGUUGUUCGGAAUUACUGGGCGUAAAGCGCGCGCAGGCGGCUAUCCAAGUCAGUGGUGAAAGCCCGGAGCUCAACUCCGGAACUGCCAUUGAAACUGUUUAGCUUGAGGAUGAGAGAGGUGAGUGGAAUUCCCAGUGUAGAGGUGAAAUUCGUAGAUAUUGGGAAGAACACCGGUGGCGAAGGCGGCUCACUGGCCCGGUACUGACGCUGAGGUGCGAAAGCGUGGGGAGCAAACAGG